UUCAAACGGGGAAAAUAUGACUAAUUAUAGCAGGAAGGAGUUUGUAUUAAUUGAAGCAGAUCAAUAAAUAUAAAUGUUAUAAACCGUGUUGGUGAAAGGUAACGUUAGUAUAGUUAACGGUAUAUUUCGGUAUUUUUCCAUCUUAGUGUCUGUAUCUGAACUAGGUUAGCAUUAUGGGCUUUUCCAGACGCCGACAUGCAGAUAAAUAAGUGCGUUGAAGCGCUAACGUUACAUUUUAACCAACUUUAUUCACCAGAACACGUUAAAUUGUAUUAAAAGUGUUGGUUUUGUCCAGAUUGUUAAUAUUUAUACAGUUCCGUCACGGUGAGGUUAGCCGGUUAGCUAGUGGUGCUACCCUGAGGGGAGCGGAGGGUCUUUGAUCAUGAAGCUGACCUGCUGUUUGACAGUUGGGUGGACUGUGAAUGGGAAAACCACACUUUUAACCAGACGAGGGAAUGGGAUUUGGAAAAAUGGAGCCAUGUUGGCUCUCUUUUGCACAUAAUGCCGCUGGAGGAGCUAGCAGUUAGCCCGGUUUUGCUGUGUUGUAGAGAUGCGGCCCACCUGUUUGGACAAAUAAACGGCAGGAAGCAUAAUGUGAACUGUUGACUGGAUGAGCUGGCGAUAUUGCACCAUUCAGACUUCAGCGGCGUGUUCACAACGGACGCCAUUAACCGAAUCAGCGACAGAGAGAGCCAGAGAAUGAGAUGCGUAUCAGAACUUAAUAUUAUCAUCCUGGAAUACCACAGUUUGACCUCGUCAGCUGGAGACCAACAGACAUCACUCACUGAUGUAAGUCACACAGGGCAUGUUAUAACUGGGUGGACGUUCAGACGACAGUUAAGGUUAGGUGAGGUUUGGUUUUGCUGGAGGCCAGUUUCCCUCUCACUCUGUGUCCUCUCUCUGCAGACAGACACAUUAAACAAAUGGAUCAAAGCUGAACCAGAAACAGGAGGUUCUGGUUUUGGUGUGCUCUUUCCCCCAAAACAUCUGAAUGUCAGCGAACAUUCAGAGUCAGAAACACCACAGAACCCACAUCUUAAUGGGUUUUUUGUUCAAUGUUAAGUUGUUCAAUGUUUUUUUUUUUUUUUUUUUUUC
Molecule: long non-coding RNA, 1095 nt
Organism: Dicentrarchus labrax (European seabass)
Lineage: Eukaryota; Metazoa; Chordata; Actinopteri; Moronidae
Exons: 2
Source: RefSeq, a predicted model, not a curated record